AUACGUAGGUGACAAGCGUUAUCCGGAUUUACUGGGCGUAAAGGGCGUGUAGGCGGACUUGCAAGUCAGAAGUGAAAUUCCUGAGCUCAACUGGGGCGUUGCUUCUGACACUGCAGGCCUUGAGUGCUGGAGGGGCUAGCGGAAUUCGUAGUGGAGCGGUAAAAUGCGCAUAUAUUAGGAAGAACACCGGUGGCGAAGGCGGCUAGCUGGACAGUAACUGACGCUGAGGCGCGAAAGCAUGGGGAGCAAACAGGAUUAGAUACCCUGGUAGUCCGCGCCGUAAACGAUGAAUACUAGGUGUAGGUGGUAUCGACUCCCUCUGUGCCGCAGUUAACACAAUAAGUGUUCCGCCUGGGGAGUACGGCCGCAAGGUUGAAACUCAAAGGAAUUGGCGGGG
RNAcentral lists this ribosomal RNA (397 nucleotides) under uncultured bacterium. Its description in RNAcentral is "partial 16S ribosomal RNA". It matches the Rfam family "Bacterial small subunit ribosomal RNA", at positions 523 to 918 of the family's 1533-position model. The record is from RNAcentral.